ACUGAAAAUAUCCGCAGAGUUGGUAAGUGUGAUUUUAUUUAGAAACAAACUUCUUACUGGAGUUGUGGCCCUGAAAUUUAAUUUUAUGUAAUAGAUGCUUCAUUGUCUCCAAAGUAAGGGGCAAACUUACACAUUGACAUUAAACAUGGUUUGUAUAUGUGCAUGCAAAAUGGUAGCUGUAUCUGGCAUUCUUAUGAAUGUGACUUACAAUGUACUGAGAAGAGACUGAUGAUUG
Molecule: unclassified non-coding RNA, 235 nt
Filed under: Hevea brasiliensis (rubber tree)
Lineage: Eukaryota; Viridiplantae; Streptophyta; Magnoliopsida; Malpighiales; Euphorbiaceae
Source: RNAcentral